GGCUCACGACGCCGAGAACGCUGUCUAAUGUCAAGGGGAAGAGGACUAGCAUACCUCGGGCCAACCGAGGAGCCUUCAUUCGACAGCGUCUCGCUCCUCUUGGUACAAAUCAGCAAUUUGUCUUUUGAAAGAGAUACCGCCCGUUUGUCUCUUGAAUGCCCAUCGGUAGAAUCCCCCUGACGAACAUAUUCUAGUGAAUAGCGUCUUCUGUUCGACCACCACCUACAGUCAAACGGUAUCGCGAAGAAGUGGUGACGAGGUCGGAACAGAUGAUGUGCCCAAAAUCCAGAUUCGGGUUGUAUAUAGGUUGUGCUCGUGGUUCUUUCCUGAAUCGUGUGCUCGGAGCAUGGCCGCUUUCACUGAGUGGGGACACCUUUACAUCCUUCCACACGUCCCUUUAUUCUAUUAAAUUGGCUAUACGAUGAUAGCCAACCUAAAGCAUCACAUUCACCCAGAUUUACAUAAACUACCUUUUUCUGGGGAGUAUAUACUACGAGUCUGACUACUUGUUCAGAUCUUGCUGACCUCUGCUCACGGCAGGGGGAUGAACAUUCAGUGGUUGAACUGGAAACAGCUUCACGUGCACAGAUGCUCGUGGCCUGGCGGACGUCGUACCACCCUGGGGCGAACUGCAACGUACCAUAUCUAAAUACGAGGACUGGAGGCGACAACAGAGGAUUUUUUCCACCACCGCAACUUCCCUGUGACAAAAGUUGGCAGCAAACGGCGGAAAAACUCCGAAAAAAUGCCGGUGGACUAAUCGCUCAGUGGAUUGUCAGAUUCAUCUGUGACCUACGAAUGAUGCACCGCCCCUAAUGAUUGCCUCACCGGCGACGUGGCGCCUGAGUAAAAGGCGAGAAUUGCCAGGGUUUGUCUUGAUUUCAAGUGUCCAUCGCCUACCACUGUUUCCACCGACAUGCGGGACCCUACCUACUCAGCACAUCUCUACAAUGUCUCUUUAUCGGCAAGAAUCUCCAACCCAUAACUCUCUGUUUUUUUGACGGCCCGGCACUGCCCUACGCGAAAUGUGCUUUGUCGCGGCAGUUGCGGGGUCUCCCCGGUUGCCCAGAUGCCAGAGUAGGCCGAGAGGCAGUGGCCAGCAACGUUGUAGACUACCAAGCAUCGAUCGCGACUUCCCUCACAAAUCUGUUAGUCCUGAAGCCCUUACAGGAA
Molecule: long non-coding RNA, 1173 nt
Filed under: Toxoplasma gondii VEG
Lineage: Eukaryota; Apicomplexa; Conoidasida; Eucoccidiorida; Sarcocystidae
Source: RNAcentral